Molecule: ribosomal RNA, 445 nt
Filed under: uncultured bacterium
Lineage: Bacteria
Description: partial 16S ribosomal RNA
Rfam family: Bacterial small subunit ribosomal RNA
Source: RNAcentral
GUGAGGAAUAUUGGUCAAUGGGCGAGAGCCUGAACCAGCCAAGUAGCGUGAAGGAUGAAGGUCCUACGGAUUGUAAACUUCUUUUAUACGGGAAUAAAGUUUCCUACGUGUAGGAUUUUGUAUGUACCGUAUGAAUAAGCAUCGGCUAACUCCGUGCCAGCAGCCGCGGUAAUACGGAGGAUGCGAGCGUUAUCCGGAUUUAUUGGGUUUAAAGGGAGCGCAGACGGGAGAUUAAGUCAGUUGUGAAAGUUUGCGGCUCAACCGUAAAAUUGCAGUUGCUACUGGUUUCCUUGAGUGCAGUUGAGGCAGGCGGAAUUCGUGGUGUAGCGGUGAAAUGCUUAGAUAUCACGAAGAACCCCGAUUGCGAAGGCAGCUUGCUAAACUGUAACUGACGUUCAUGCUCUAAAGUGUGGGUAUCAAACAGGAUUAGAAACCCCGGUAGUCC